AGCGUAUCUCACAGAAUCUCUGACCAAUGGAGAGCUAAUCAAAGACAAGUUUAAUAGGAGAAGAAAAUACUUGGAUUGGGAGGAUGGCUGAAAAGUCCCAUUGAACAAGGCCCUCAAAUGGAGUUCCUGUGGAGUGGUCACCUUUUUGAUGACUUCAACUGGGAACAUCCGUAUGGAACCAUCGCUGGGUGUUCAUUCCAUCACCCCUUCCUAUGUCCCUGCUCAGGACACCCUGCGUCUGUCUAUAUGCAUUGCUACCAGUUUAGACAGUGAGUUACAUUUAGUGCAUUUGUGCAUUGUUCUUUAUUGUAUCCAUGGUAUCUAGCACAAUUCUUGUUCUUAUUAGAGCUUCGUAAAUGUCAUUGAUUAAUCCAGGGCAGAUUAUCUCUCUCUAUUUUCGUGAAUCCUCUGCAUAAACAAUUUGAUUAAAAAUUUAUGACA
This 441-nucleotide long non-coding RNA is filed under the name Pan troglodytes (chimpanzee). RNAcentral describes it as "lincRNA". Lineage: Eukaryota; Metazoa; Chordata; Mammalia; Primates; Hominidae. The record is from RNAcentral.